RNAcentral lists this ribosomal RNA (248 nucleotides) under uncultured Ruminococcus sp. RNAcentral describes it as "partial 16S ribosomal RNA". It matches the Rfam family "Bacterial small subunit ribosomal RNA", at positions 524 to 771 of the family's 1533-position model. Lineage: Bacteria; Bacillati; Bacillota; Clostridia; Eubacteriales; Oscillospiraceae. The record is from RNAcentral.
UACGUAGGGAGCAAGCGUUAUCCGGAAUUACUGGGUGUAAAGGGAGUGUAGGCGGGACUGCAAGUCAGAUGUGAAAAUUAUGGGCUCAACUCAUAACCUGCAUUUGAAACUGUAGUUCUUGAGUGAAGUAGAGGUAAGCGGAAUUCCUAGUGUAGCGGUGAAAUGCGUAGAUAUUAGGAGGAACAUCAGUGGCGAAGGCGGCUUACUGGGCUUUUACUGACGCUGAGGCUCGAAAGCGUGGGGAGCAA